GAGUCCGCCUGUGGGGUGAGAAACGCCAGGUCUCGCGAAGGGGGUUGUGUCGCUGGCGCCAUGUCGUACUGCUGGCAGGAAGGGAAAGACCAGAUAAUAUUUGUGACCAAAGAAGACCACGAGACACCUAGCAGUGCAGAGCUGGUGGCCGAUGACCCCAACGACCCAUAUGAGGAACAUGGGUUGAUACUGCCAAAUGGAGAAAUUAACUGGAACUGCCCGUGCCUGGGGGGCAUGGCCAGCGGCCCCUGUGGGGAACAGUUUAAGUCAGCCUUUUCCUGCUUCCACUAUAGCACAGAGGACAUCAAGGGAUCGGACUGUGUAGACCAGUUUCGGGCCAUGCAGGAAUGCAUGCAGAAAUACCCAGACCUAUAUCCCCAAGAGGAUGAAGAAGAGGAGGCAGAAGAGAAGCCAUCAGAACAUGCAGAGGAAAUGGCUCCCACUGGAGCCACUGCCACCAAAGAAGAGUCAGCGUCCAUUUAAUGCAGGUCACUG
This is an RNA transcript of Octodon degus (degu), 495 nucleotides long. It is a transcript of the gene named mitochondrial intermembrane space import and assembly protein 40 pseudogene, with no coding region annotated. Lineage: Eukaryota; Metazoa; Chordata; Mammalia; Rodentia; Octodontidae. The transcript has a single exon. The record is from RefSeq and is a predicted model, not a curated record.